UACGUAGGGGGCAAGCGUUGUCCGGAAUCAUUGGGCGUAAAGAGCGUGUAGGCGGCCCGGUAAGUCCGUUGUGAAAGUCGAGGGCUCAACCCUCGAAUGCCGGCGGAUACUGUCGGGCUAGAAUCCGGAAGAGGCGAGUGGAAUUCCUGGUGUAGCGGUGAAAUGCGCAGAUAUCAGGAGGAACACCAAUGGCGAAGGCAGCACUCUGGGACGUGACUGACGCUGAGACGCGAAAGCUAGGGGAGCAAACGGG
RNAcentral lists this ribosomal RNA (253 nucleotides) under uncultured bacterium. RNAcentral's name for it is "partial 16S ribosomal RNA". It matches the Rfam family "Bacterial small subunit ribosomal RNA", at positions 524 to 776 of the family's 1533-position model. The record is from RNAcentral.